Molecule: long non-coding RNA, 553 nt
Organism: Ceratitis capitata (Mediterranean fruit fly)
Lineage: Eukaryota; Metazoa; Arthropoda; Insecta; Diptera; Tephritidae
Exons: 4
Source: RefSeq, a predicted model, not a curated record
UCAUAUACGCGUCAAAAUAAAUUCACUUAAAUAGACAUAAAAAUUAAUUACUUGUCACUUAGCUGAGCGAAAUUCAGCAAUUUAUAAGCCACCAGCGACCCAGAGGUGCAGACGCACAAAGCCACAGAGUCACAGAAAGCGAACUGCGAUAUGUUGGAUGGACAGUUUCAGAGGAGAAGAGCAAUCCAUAUGCAGUGGCUCAGGCCUGUUGGAAAUACCCUAAGGGUAACUAAGGCAUAUCCAUGUGCAGCGAAAACUCUGAAGGCGAAGAGCGCAAAUUAGAUAGAUUCAACUACUGAACUGUUUAAUUCCUUGGUGAAGGACUGGACUGGUCGCGGGUUUUGUCACUAGUCUUGUUAAAAUUACUUUAGGAAACACUGAUCCGAUUGUACCAAUCUAAGAAGUGCUUGAAUGCUGGCACUUUAUACCGACAAACAAAAAUUCCAUGGGAUUCUGCAACUGGUGAAGCAGGACCGGAUACGCAAGCUGUCUGAAGGUUUACCUGCACCACCUAUUUUAUUGAUGAUUAUCAACACCAUUGCGGCGGAGUUUU